GCUUGUCUCAAAGAUUAAGCCAUGCAUGUCUAAGUAUAAAUGGUAUACAGUGAAACUGCGAAUGGCUCAUUAAAACAGUUAUAGUUUAUUUGGUAAUCGAAUUUACAUGGAUAACCGUGGUAAUUCUAGAGCUAAUACAUGCUAUCAAGCCCGACUUCUUGAAGGGUUGUAUUUAUUAGACUUAAGCCAAUAUUCCUUGUGUCUAUUGCGAUGAUUCAUAAUAACUGAUCGAAUCGCAAGGCCUUUGGCCGCGAUAAGUCAUUCAAGUUUCUGCCCCAUCAGCUUUCGAUGGUAGUGUAUUGGACUACCAUGGCGUUCACGGGUAACGGAGAAUUAGGGUUCGAUUCCGGAGAGGGAGCCUGAGAAACGGCUACCACAUCUAAGGAAGGCAGCAGG
Molecule: ribosomal RNA, 396 nt
Filed under: Stylonychia lemnae
Lineage: Eukaryota; Ciliophora; Spirotrichea; Sporadotrichida; Oxytrichidae
Description: partial small subunit ribosomal RNA
Rfam family: Eukaryotic small subunit ribosomal RNA
Source: RNAcentral